GACGAACGCUGGCGGCGUGCUUAACACAUGCAAGUCGAACGAAGCUUGAUUACGGAUUCUUCGGAUGAAGUAUGAUAUGACUGAGUGGCGGACGGGUGAGUAACGCGUGAGUAACCUGCCCUUCAGAGGGGGAUAGCGUUUGGAAACGAACGGUAAUACCGCAUAAUGUAUUUUGACCGCAUGAUCGAAAUACCAAAGAUUUAUCGCUGAAGGAUGGACUCGCGUCUGAUUAGGUAGUUGGUGGGGUAACGGCCUACCAAGCCGACGAUCAGUAGCCGGACUGAGAGGUUGAUCGGCCACAUUGGGACUGAGACACGGCCCAGACUCCUACGGGAGGCAGCAGGGGGGAAUAUUGCACAAUGGGCGCAAGCCUGAUGCAGCAACGCCGCGUGAAGGAAGACGGUUUUCGGAUUGUAAACUUCUGUUCUUAGUGAAGAAUAAUGACGGUAGCUAAGGAGCAAGCCACGGCUAACUACGUG
Molecule: ribosomal RNA, 479 nt
Filed under: uncultured bacterium
Lineage: Bacteria
Description: partial 16S ribosomal RNA
Rfam family: Bacterial small subunit ribosomal RNA
Source: RNAcentral